Long non-coding RNA from Anser brachyrhynchus (Pink-footed goose), 1059 nucleotides. The record is from Ensembl. NCBI's taxonomy places the organism in Eukaryota, Metazoa, Chordata, Aves, Anseriformes, Anatidae.
AUGAGUCUCUUUGCACUAAGAAGUAGCUGCUGGGGGACCUGGGAGGACAGGCUGCACUGGGGACAGCAGUGUGGCAGCCACCAACCCAGCUCCCAUCAGGAUCUAGGCUUUGUGGUGCUAGGUGCUGGCUUGGGGUGCUGCUGUGGUUGCCCAGUGCUGGCCGAACCUGGCACUGGCUGUGCAGGGCUGGAGGGAGGUGGCAGGCAGGGAGUGCUUUGUGCUUCUCACCUGCAGUUGCAGGAGGUAAAUGAGUCAGUGACGGGCAGCUCCCAGCUGCUCCACUGUGGUUUUGCACCGUCCCUGUGGAGCGCAGAGCUCCCCACACCGCUUCAGGGCUUCUCCAUCAGGGUUGUCCUGGGCAGGGGGUGUGCAGCCCCUGGGAUGCCCUCCCAGCUCCAUCCCCACUGCAAAGCUCUGUGUGGCCACGGAAGCCCCUGCAAAGGCCCCUGCAUCUCACAGGGGUCCUUCCACCGACCUUGGUGGGCUUUGGAUCCAGUGGGCUCCGUGGGGGUGCGCGGCAGCCUCCAGACCCUCACCCAGCAGCUGGUGCUGCAGCCUAGUAUGUGCUUGUUGGCAGCAGAGGGGUCUGUGCAGAAGCUGUAUGUGGUUCAGAGCUUUCUUAAUGAAAAUGACUUCCAAAGCACAUUUUGUGGGCAAAAUGUUAACUUCACCAUGUCUCAACACUCUCCAAAACCUGAGAAACAGAGAUGGUUUCUUCUCGGUGGGGAGGGAGGCUCUUGUUGUCACUCUCUUUCAUAUGCACACACACACACACAGUGGUUCUUCUUUCUCUCCCGUCCCACUUUCCUCCUCCAAAAGACUUCGAACACUUUAUGGAAAUGUUAUUUUCUCCCCAAACUGUUGCCUUUCUGCUGCAUUCUCACCAAGCAGCCUGCUGGCUUUCCCUGGGCUCCGCUCCCAGCGCGGGCAGUCGCAGCUGUCCCACAAGUGCAACGUCAGCGACGUCCCUGUGGUGACAGUGCUGAGCCUGUGGAAGGGGAAGAAGGUUCAGGGGUGGCUGUGCUGGGCUGCCAGGUGCCGGGCCGCCUGGUGAGCUAG